GACGAACGCUGGCGGCGUGCUUAACACAUGCAAGUCGAACGGAAAGGCCCCCUUGUGGGGUACUCGAGUGGCGAACGGGUGAGUAACAUGUGAGUAACCUACCCUUGACUUUGGGAUAACUUCAGGAAACUGGGGCUAAUACCGGAUAGGAGCUCCUGCUGCAUGGUGGGGGUUGGAAGGUUUCGGCGGUUGGGGAUGGACUCGCGGCUUAUCAGCUUGUUGGUGGGGUAGUGGCUCACCAAGGGUUUGACGGGUAGCCGGCCUGAGAGGGUGACCGGCCACAUUGGGACUGAGAGACGGCCCAGACUCCUACGGGAGGCAGCAGUGGGGAAUAUUGCACAAUGGGCGGAAGCCUGAUGCAGCAGCGCCGCGUGCGGGAUGACGGCCUUCGGGUUGUAAACCGCUUUCGCCUGUGACGAAGCGUGAGUGACGGUAAUGGGUAAAGAAGCACCGGCUAACUACGUG
This 465-nucleotide ribosomal RNA is filed under the name uncultured bacterium. Its description in RNAcentral is "partial 16S ribosomal RNA". It matches the Rfam family "Bacterial small subunit ribosomal RNA", at positions 28 to 507 of the family's 1533-position model. The record is from RNAcentral.